UACGGGGGGUGCAAGCGUUGUUCGGAAUCAUUGGGCGUAAAGCGCGUGUAGGCGGCCGGAUAUGUCAGAUGUGAAAGUCCCGGGCUCAACUCGGGAAGUGCAUUUGAAACUGUUCGGCUAGAGUUAGGGAGAGGAAAGUGGAAUUCCUGGUGUAGAGGUGAAAUUCGCAGAUAUCAGGAGGAACACCGGUGGCGAAGGCGGCUUUCUGGCCCUCUACUGACGCUGAGACGCGAAAGCGUGGGGAG
This 245-nucleotide ribosomal RNA is filed under the name uncultured Smithella sp. Its description in RNAcentral is "partial 16S ribosomal RNA". It matches the Rfam family "Bacterial small subunit ribosomal RNA", at positions 524 to 768 of the family's 1533-position model. The record is from RNAcentral. Lineage: Bacteria; Pseudomonadati; Thermodesulfobacteriota; Syntrophia; Syntrophales; Smithellaceae.